Molecule: ribosomal RNA, 895 nt
Filed under: Kocuria rhizophila
Lineage: Bacteria; Bacillati; Actinomycetota; Actinomycetes; Micrococcales; Micrococcaceae
Description: bacterial SSU rRNA
Rfam family: Bacterial small subunit ribosomal RNA
Source: RNAcentral
CCGGGGCUUAACCCCGGGUGUGCAGUGGGUACGGGCAGACUUGAGUGCAGUAGGGGAGACUGGAAUUCCUGGUGUAGCGGUGAAAUGCGCAGAUAUCAGGAGGAACACCGAUGGCGAAGGCAGGUCUCUGGGCUGUUACUGACGCUGAGGAGCGAAAGCAUGGGGAGCGAACAGGAUUAGAUACCCUGGUAGUCCAUGCCGUAAACGUUGGGCACUAGGUGUGGGGAACAUUCCACGUUUUCCGCGCCGUAGCUAACGCAUUAAGUGCCCCGCCUGGGGAGUACGGCCGCAAGGCUAAAACUCAAAGGAAUUGACGGGGGCCCGCACAAGCGGCGGAGCAUGCGGAUUAAUUCGAUGCAACGCGAAGAACCUUACCAAGGCUUGACAUACACCGGACCGGGCCAGAGAUGGUCUUUCCCCCUUGUGGGGCUGGUGUACAGGUGGUGCAUGGUUGUCGUCAGCUCGUGUCGUGAGAUGUUGGGUUAAGUCCCGCAACGAGCGCAACCCUCGUUCUAUGUUGCCAGCACGUGAUGGUGGGGACUCAUAGGAGACUGCCGGGGUCAACUCGGAGGAAGGUGGGGAUGACGUCAAAUCAUCAUGCCCCUUAUGUCUUGGGCUUCACGCAUGCUACAAUGGCCAGUACAAUGGGUUGCGAUGCCGCGAGGUGGAGCUAAUCCCAAAAAGCUGGUCUCAGUUCGGAUCGUGGUCUGCAACUCGACCACGUGAAGUCGGAGUCGCUAGUAAUCGCAGAUCAGCAACGCUGCGGUGAAUACGUUCCCGGGCCUUGUACACACCGCCCGUCAAGUCACGAAAGUUGGUAACACCCGAAGCCGGUGGCCUAACCCUUGUGGGGGGAGCCGUCGAAGGUGGGACUGGCGAUUGGACUAUCAGAAGG